AGAAGCUUCUACCAGGGUUCGAUUCGAGCGCAGCGAGAAAGCGUUGCCGCAGGCAACGACCCGAAGGGCGAAGCGCGCAGCGCUGAGUCAUCCUUCCCCCACCACCA
This 107-nucleotide small RNA is filed under the name Salmonella enterica. RNAcentral describes it as "partial RtT sRNA". It matches the Rfam family "RtT RNA", at positions 25 to 130 of the family's 130-position model. Rfam says of the family: This family represents a bacterial cis-regulatory element known as RtT RNA. The exact function of RtT is unknown although it is thought that it may be involved in changing the cellular response in relation to amino acid starvation. Lineage: Bacteria; Pseudomonadati; Pseudomonadota; Gammaproteobacteria; Enterobacterales; Enterobacteriaceae. RNAcentral also lists the same sequence under 2 other names. The record is from RNAcentral.